Molecule: ribosomal RNA, 216 nt
Filed under: Glomeromycotina sp.
Lineage: Eukaryota; Fungi; Glomeromycota
Description: partial small subunit ribosomal RNA
Rfam family: Eukaryotic small subunit ribosomal RNA (bases 40-216)
Source: RNAcentral
GGGUCAGUAGGUUGGUCGUGCCACCGGUACGUACUGGUCUCACUGAUUCCUCCUUCCUGAAGAGCCGUAAUGCCAUUAAUUUGGUGUUGCGGGGAAACAGGACUGUUACUUUGAAAAAAUUAGAGUGUUUAAAGCAAGCUGACGCUUGAAUACAUUAGCAUGGAAUAAUGAAAUAGGACGAUCGAUCCUAUUUUGUUGGUUUCUAGGAUUGACGUA